AUGGAGUGGCCGCUCAGCUCGACUGAUCCAUCCACACCACGCCGGGUGUUUCCUGCAGCAACUGUCACCAGGGCAACCAGCAGUCAGGCGAAGCCACGAGGUUCCCUCAUCACUGCCCGGUCAUUCUCUAAGCACACGCCCUGGUCAGUCAGUUCCCCCUUCCAGCUGACUCCUGAACUCCAACGUCAGUGUGGCAGAAGCUGUGAUUCCACUGGAAAGGUGAAAGAGGUAUUUCAGCUCUCUGGCCAUGCUCGGUGUCGUCUUGGCUCUUCUCACCUGGCGGGAAGAGGCCCACAAAACACCACACAGGACCAUUAUUGGAAAGCCAAAAGAUUUUUACUUCUCCUCAGUAUGGCGUCCCUGGGUAAUAAUCAGGUAAGCGCUCUUCUCCACAGCUCUCUAAAACUUUUUUUUUCCUCGGGACCCAUAACUGUGUCAUUUAAGUGCUUAUUCUAAGCCAAGCACGUCGUAGGUACCGGAGAAGCAGCGUGACCCAGCGGAAAGACCAAGGGCCUGGAAGCCAGAGGACCUGAGUUCUAAAUUCAGCUUCACCACUUGUCGGCUGCGGGACCUUGGGCAGGUCAGUCUCCUUCCUUGGCAGGGUCGGGGAUUGAGAGGUAGAAAGGUAAACUCCUCGCUGAGCCCCGGCAUUGAUUUCAUCGUUUAAUUUUGGGGGGCCGUCAAGGGAAGAAGGGGACUGAACCCCCGGGGAGAGCCGGGGUCUGGGAUAAGAAAGGAAGCUUGUGACCUCUGGUGCCGCUGCUCUGGAGCCAACGUUCAGAGAAGCAAAUGUUUGUAAGCAUAAGGGGCCAAAUCUCCUUCCUAUUUAGGAGGUUCAGAAAACAAACAGUGCAGGGAGCGGAUGCUGGGAGGUGAUCUUAUAGAACGCCUUUCCAUGCCACUGGACGUUUCCUAAAUCAUUAACGAGAACCUUAAUCGUAUUUAGGUCAAAAUGCAGACAGAAGCUUAUAUAGUCAAUCCC
This 982-nucleotide long non-coding RNA is filed under the name Ornithorhynchus anatinus (platypus). RNAcentral describes it as "lncRNA (ENSOANG00000042083.1)". The record is from RNAcentral. Lineage: Eukaryota; Metazoa; Chordata; Mammalia; Monotremata; Ornithorhynchidae.